GACCAUCAGGUGAGGGCAGUGUUAGG
Molecule: non-coding RNA, 26 nt
Filed under: Homo sapiens (human)
Lineage: Eukaryota; Metazoa; Chordata; Mammalia; Primates; Hominidae
Source: RNAcentral